GACGGCCGCCAUGUAAAGCUGGAAGCUGACGAUGAGAUACAAUGAGGCCCCGUUUGGACAUGGUUUGAAACUAUAGACUUAGAAAAUCAGAUAAAGAACGUGGGAAUUGAAAUUUUCUUGUUCAGUUGUGAUAUGGUGGUUUACGCCCAUGAACAGUGAUCGUAAACUGAAACCAAGAAUUUCUGAACAUUCUGGAAUUUGACAUUUUGAGGUCAUAUGGUUAAAUACAGACCAUAUAUCACUUUACGGCCCGUAUUUAAAAACGUGUUUGGAAUUUGGGAAAACUUCGUUGAUGAAAGUUGUAGAGCAUUGAAAUACCUUUCCAACGGUAUCUUACGGGGGUCAAACGGACAUCUGUGCAAAGAGUUAUGACCAUUUUACUGAAGAGACGCAGUGGAGUCCGUAUUGCAAAAUACGGCCUGUAUUGCAGUUUACGACCCGUAAACUGAAAAUACGACCAGCACUGUUCAGGUCGUAAAUUGCAAUUUCACAGGACAGUAUAUAUUCAUCCAUACCAGUUCAACUUAUUAUUUUUCAUUCCUUCAAACCAUAGAACGACUUCCUACUCUGCUCCAACAUCAAGAAUACCAAGGUAAGUCCAUUCUAAUUAUUCCAACUCAAUUCUAACAUAUAUCCUUGUAAUCUAAACAAGAAAUCAUCAUUCCUAAUCUAGGGUUUUUAAGAAAACCCAUCUCAAGAUUCAAGAAUCAAGAUUUAGGAAAUCUUCUCCAAAAUUUAAGUCUUUAAUUCAAGUUUUGGAGCAAUUAAGGUAUGUAGAACUUCCAUCCACAUGAGGGAAUCUCUAUGUUCUUCCCCAUGCUUCGUUUCCUUGAUAUCCAUGAAGUUCAAAUCUUAGAGCAUUAAACCCAACAUAUUGGUAGCUCGUAUUUAAGUAUUUAUGUACAUGAAUUUUGUAUCUAUAUUUGUUGUUGUAUUCCUAAUCUUCCAUUACGGUUAUUAGGAACCCUAGCUUAAUCCAUGAAUCAUGAAUUCUUCCUCAUGUGUUCUCAUUAUGUUCAUAUGAAACUUUAUGAUUUUAUUUUGCAAGUUACAAUCAUGUUUUCAAGUCAAUUACAUAUAUAUGAUUAUGAACUAUUGUUAUUACUCGUGAAUCAAGAAUAUGUUUACAAGCUAUUUCAUGAAACCAUGUUUACAAGUUAUUUUGUGAAAUCAUUAUUACAAGACAAGUACAAGUUAAUUCACGAAAAUCAUGGGCUUCUUAGCCAACUAUAUUAUGUUAAUGUUUUUGGGAGUUGCACAAAUUACCGAGAAGACUCAGAUAGCUUGAAACUACAUAGCCACCGUAGGACAAGGAUCGCUCCGCCCAGAUAAGACGAUACAUUAAUUUUACACUGAAUGGAUCCAUCAGGCACGUUACCACCUUAUACUCUGGCAAGGUAUGAGGGCUCUGCUGGUCCGGCGAGGUACCAGACUUCACGUAACCACGUGGUGAUUUACCACCUUAUACUGUGGCAAGGUAUGAGGGCUCUGCUGGUCCGGUGAGGUACCAGACUCCACGUACCCACGUGGUGAUAUCACAUGUCGGUUUAUGAAAUGCUCUCCCUACUUAUCAUGUUUUUACUUAUGUUAUAUAUAUACAUAUGCACUCAUGCUCAUGUUCAUGUCCAGGUUUUCAGUUUCAGUUCCUAUCAUGUUAUUCCAUGUCCCAUGUUGUUUCUUUCGGUUGCUUUACAUACCAGUACAUUCAAUGUGCUGACGUCCCCUUUUAUUGCCCGGGGGCCUGUAUUUCACGAUGCAGGUACUGAUAUACAGGACGACACAUCCGCUCAGUAGGACAACAUUCGUAUUAGCUUAUUGGGACAUCAUGGAAGAACACUGCAAAGAAUUCAAGACAGAAGAUGACGAAUCCUAGGUAGCAUUUGAUACUCUACUUGGGUAUUACAUGAUUUAUAUCCCGUGAAAUUAAAUUUUGUAUAAGUUACUCUUGCUAUUGUAAUUUCAAGUUCCAAUAUUUGAUGACUGUAAUAAAGAAGAAAAAUAGGGUACUGUUCUAUGUUCUACUAUAUUAUGAUGAUUAUUAUCUUAUUUUCAUCCAGUGAAAUAUUUCACGAGUUACUCUUGCUAUUGUAAUUUGGAGUUCCGCUGUAACAAAAAUAGGACGUUCUUUGUUUUAUUAUAUAUGAUGGUGUUUGACUUGAUA
This is a long non-coding RNA of Lycium barbarum (goji berry), 2161 nucleotides long. RefSeq lists it as uncharacterized. The record is from RefSeq and is a predicted model, not a curated record. NCBI's taxonomy places the organism in Eukaryota, Viridiplantae, Streptophyta, Magnoliopsida, Solanales, Solanaceae. The transcript has 2 exons.